Molecule: ribosomal RNA, 481 nt
Filed under: uncultured bacterium
Lineage: Bacteria
Description: bacterial SSU rRNA
Rfam family: Bacterial small subunit ribosomal RNA
Source: RNAcentral
GACGAACGCUGGCGGCGUGCUUAACACAUGCAAGUCGAACGAGAAGAGAUGAGAAGCUUGCUUCUUAUUGAUUCGAGUGGCAAACGGGUGAGUAACGCGUAAGCAACCUGCCCUUCAGAUGGGGACAACAGCUGGAAACGGCUGCUAAUACCGAAUACGUUCUUUUUGUCGCAUGGCAGAGAGAAGAAAGGGAGGCUCUUCGGAGCUUUCGCUGAAGGAGGGGCUUGCGUCUGAUUAGCUAGUUGGAGGGUAACGGCCCACCAAGGCGACGAUCAGUAGGGGUUCUGAGAGGAAGGUUCCCCCACAUUGGAACUGAGACACGGUCCAAACUCCUACGGGAGCAGCAGUGAGGAAUAUUGGUCAAUGGACGAGAGUCUGAACCAGCCAAGUAGCGUGCAGGAUGACGGCCCUAUGGGUUGUAAACUGCUUUUAUAAGGGAAUAAAGUGGGUCACGUGUGACUUUUGCAUGUACCUUAUGAAU